RNAcentral lists this ribosomal RNA (437 nucleotides) under uncultured Nitrososphaera sp. RNAcentral describes it as "bacterial SSU rRNA". It matches the Rfam family "Archaeal small subunit ribosomal RNA", at positions 482 to 924 of the family's 1478-position model. The record is from RNAcentral. Lineage: Archaea; Thermoproteati; Nitrososphaerota; Nitrososphaeria; Nitrososphaerales; Nitrososphaeraceae.
CUUCGAGUGGUGUGGAUGUUUAUUGGGCCUAAAGCAUCCGUAGCUGGCCAGGUCAGUCCCUUGUUAAAUCCACCGAAUUAAUCGUUGGAUCGCGGGGGAUACUGCUUGGCUAGGGGACGAGAGAGGCAGACGGUAUUUUCGGGGUAGGGGUGAAAUCCUAUAAUCCCGGGAAGACCACCAGUGGCGAAGGCUGUCUGCUAGAACGCGCCCGACGGUGAGGGAUGAAAGCUGGGGGAGCGAACCGGAUUAGAUACCCGGGUAGUCCCAGCUGUAAACGAUGCAGGCUAGGUGUUUGGACGGCCACGUGCCGUUCUAGUGCCGCAGGGAAGCUGUUAAGCCUGCCGCCUGGGGAGUACGAUCGCAAGAUUGAAACUUAAAGGAAUUGGCGGGGGAGCACGGGGCGGGGGCGGCGGGCCGGGCGCGGGGCGCGGCGGGCG